CCCUUAGAUGUUCUGGACCGCACGCGCGCUACACUGACGGAGGCAGCGAGCAUGUCCUUCGCCGAGAGGUGUGGGGAAUCUUGUGAGUCUCCGUCGUGCUGGGGAUAGAUGGUUGCAAUUGUCGAUCUUGAACGAGGAAUUCCUAGUAAGCGCGAGUCAUCAGCUCGCGCUGAUUACGUCCCUGCCCUUUGUACACACCGCCCGUCGCUACUACCGAUUGAAUCGUUUAGCGAGAAUUUUGGAUCGGAGCCCUGGUGGGCAGCGAUGUCCGCCUGGGAUUUACCGAGAAAUCAUUCCAGCUUGCCGAUUUAGAGGAAGUAAAAGUCGUAACA
RNAcentral lists this ribosomal RNA (332 nucleotides) under uncultured eukaryote. RNAcentral describes it as "partial 18S ribosomal RNA". It matches the Rfam family "Eukaryotic small subunit ribosomal RNA", at positions 1470 to 1796 of the family's 1831-position model. The record is from RNAcentral.